RNAcentral lists this ribosomal RNA (433 nucleotides) under uncultured bacterium. RNAcentral's name for it is "partial 16S ribosomal RNA". It matches the Rfam family "Bacterial small subunit ribosomal RNA", at positions 29 to 507 of the family's 1533-position model. The record is from RNAcentral.
AACGAACGCUGGCGGCAUGCCUAACACAUGCAAGUCGAACGAGACCUUUGGGUCUAGUGGCGCACGGGUGCGUAACGCGUGGGAAUCUGCCCUUGGGUUCGGAAUAACAGUGAGAAAUUGCUGCUAAUACCGGAUGAUGUCUUCGGACCAAAGAUUUAUCGCCCAGGGAUGAGCCCGCGUAGGAUUAGCUAGUUGGUGGGGUAAUGGCCUACCAAGGCGACGAUCCUUAGCUGGUCUGAGAGGAUGAUCAGCCACACUGGGACUGAGACACGGCCCAGACUCCUACGGGAGGCAGCAGUGGGGAAUAUUGGACAAUGGUCGCAAGCCUGAUCCAGCAAUGCCGCGUGAGUGAUGAAGGCCUUAGGGUUGUAAAGCUCUUUUACCAGGGAUGAUAAUGACAGUACCUGGAGAAUAAGCUCCGGCUAACUCCGUG